This is a long non-coding RNA of Megalobrama amblycephala (Wuchang bream), 1683 nucleotides long. RefSeq lists it as uncharacterized. Lineage: Eukaryota; Metazoa; Chordata; Actinopteri; Cypriniformes; Xenocyprididae. The record is from RefSeq and is a predicted model, not a curated record. The transcript is spliced from 3 exons.
AGACAGCAGGUGACUCCGUGCCGGAUCCGUUUUCAAACCGGCAAAUCCGCAUUACAGUCACCUCCGUUUCACUGCUCUAAAACGGAUCCAGCCCGGUCCCGGUUUCCGUGGGCGGGAACAACAGUCGCAACGCAGAUUCGGCCCGUAUCCGUGGAAACGAGCGCGCGAAUUUUUUUUUUUUUCUGGAGUUUAGAAGAGGAGGCAGACACAGACGGUGCUCGGUCGGUAUCCUACUUCAAAAACAUCACCAAAGAGUUGUAAGGAAUAACCAGUCCUCUACCAGUGCAGCAGAUUCUUGCCUUUGACUGUGGCGGUGGCCAGAAGGAACGUGCCAAAGCCAAAGAGGCCUUAACUGAGAUGCCUCAUGGGAAUUAAACGGCACAUAUGAAGUGGUUUGUAAUACCAUGGUUUUCCGACUGUCCUGAUUGGUUCUUGAUGUGUUUAUGGUUCAUUAUAUGAAAUUAUUAUUUGUAUGCUUUUUUCCCAAUUUCUUCUAUUUUCUUCUUUAAAUAUACAUUAAGAAAAGUUGUGAGAUUGUUUAACUAUUUGUGUAUCAAUGUUUAAAGGAUAGUUCACCAGAAAAUGAAAAUUUGCUGUUAAUUUACUCACCCUCAAGCCAUCCAUGAUGUAGGUGACAUUUUUAGCUGAAACCAUGGUCCUUGGUGAAUGCAAGUCAAUGGCUACAGUCACUUUGAGAGUCAUAAAAACAUAUUACAGGCAAAACAAAGUUAAUACCUGUGACUGAUGCUGACAUUACAUUGAGGUCUUAUGAAGCGAAACAGACCAAUGUUUUCGCUUCAUUAGACCUCAAUGAAUCAUCUGGAGCCACACGUAUUCAUUUUGUUUUGCCUGAAUAUGUUUUUUUGACUCUCAAAGGGACUAGCCAUUGACUUUUAUAUUAUACUUUUAUAUUAUACAAAUCACCAAGGACCACAUUUUCAGCUAAAAAUCUUCUUUACUGAUAGUAAAUUAACGGCAAAUUUUCAUUUUUGGGUGAAUGAUCCCUUUAAGCUUAUUGAAUAUGAUGUAACUAGAGACUUAGGAUUAGUUCACUUUCAAAUGAAAAUUACCCCAAGCUUUACUCACCCUCAAGCUUAAUACUUUAAUAUAUCUCCGAUUGUGUUCAUCAAAAAGUCACAUACACCUAGAAUGGCUUGAGGGUGAGUAAAGCUUGGGGUAAUUUUCAUUGAAAGUGAACUAAUCCUUUAAAGGGAUAUUUCACCCAAAAAUGAAAAUUCUGUCAUUAAUUACUCAUCUAAUUUUGUUCCAAAAUCGUAAUACUUUUUCAUCUUUGGAACUCAAAUGAAGAUCUUUUUGAUGAAAUCUGAAAGAUUUCUGUCUCUGUUGACAGCUACACAACUACCUCUUCUACACUUCUAUGAACUUCAGCUACAAAGUUCAUAAAGAGAUCGCCAAACUAAUCCAUAUAAAUUGAGUGGUUUAAUCCAAAUUGUCUUGAAUUUGGAUUAAACGAUCACUUUAUAUGAUGAACAAAUCUCUUGCUGAUGCUCAAGCGUGCUGUGUAACACAAGAAUGAACCUUAUAGCUUCCCUUUACCACAACUGACGUGUGAGUUGAUAAAUGCUUAUAUGUGAAUAAAAUCCUUCAUCAAAUAAAGCGCUUGUGUCUCUUCAGAAAAUUUUGGACUAAAGUGCUCGAUUUAUAUGGAUUAGUUUUACAAUC